Lathyrus oleraceus (garden pea) is the source of this 1264-nucleotide long non-coding RNA. RefSeq lists it as uncharacterized. The record is from RefSeq and is a predicted model, not a curated record. The transcript has 2 exons. NCBI's taxonomy places the organism in Eukaryota, Viridiplantae, Streptophyta, Magnoliopsida, Fabales, Fabaceae.
UGAAAAUAAGAGCUUUUUGCAUAAGCUAAUUUAGAAACAUGUGAAUGAGUAAGUAAAAAGCAGCAUUAGUGUAGUGUGAGUGAGUCAGUGCUUAUUACUAAGUUAUUACUCUCUCUCUCAUACACACUCACAUUAAAUGUGCCUCUCUCUCACCUUGCUAUAUAUAAGAAGGUAUGUGAGGGUUAGGGUUUUCAUCAUCACCAUCAAAGAGUGAAAGAGUUGAAGAUGUUUCAUUUGAGGGGAAUGUUGGCUGGCUCGAGGCUUUUCAGUUUCACAAAAGAAGUUCAAUCUUAAUUGUAUGAACUAUAAGGCUUCGGACCAGGCUUCAUUCCCCUCAAAAUCUUUAUCAUUUCAUCUUCUUCAUCUUCAUCUCCAUCUUGUGAGACGCAAGAGUUAGGUUGAGAGGAACGUUGUCUGGCUCGAGGUCACCGAGAUCGAUGAGUAAUACUUCUAACUCUCUACUCAAUCUCGGACCAGGCUUCAUUCCCCCUAACCAACUCUUGCAACCUUCAACUUCAACUUCUCCAUAAGUAAGGUUUUGGCCCCUACUCUCUCCCUCAAAUGCUGCAGGAAUGUUUGUUUCACGUGGGGAAGGCAAGAAAGCAUCAACAGUGUCAAAACCUAUCACUAGUGAAAAUUCUUUCUUAUCAUCUGCAAACCAUAACCCUAGCUAGGUCUUUCAAUAACACUAUUAUUAUGUGACCAUUAAUAAUGGUUUUAUAUUUGUUGUGCAGUGAAGUGCAAGGUUUCCCAUUGCGGUUACAUAAAAAGCUUUUGCAAUUUUUGCGAUACUAAUUGUGAUGGUAUUGGUAUCUGUCGCACUCGUUUUUGUGAUAACGGGACAGUUUUUUAAAACUUUGGUGAAGUGGUUAUGGCAGUGAGAUUGAAGUUAGUAGGUGAGAUGAGAUGUGCUGGAACAGUUAACGAGAAGAAGUGAGAAUCAGGAGAAGCUAAGGUAGCUAGCUAGGUAUCUGUGUAUUGUGAUCACCAUUCACCAUUAUAAAUCUUGCUAAUUUCCAAGACAGCAGAAGAAAAAGCUGAUAGAUAGAUUAUAGAUAAUAUGUAUGAGCAAAAGUUCCAUGGUGAUGCAAUGAAGAGUACUUCAGAUAGAUAGAUAUAAUAUAGCCAUGGAUGUAUCUGAGGUGAUGCAAAACUAAACCUCAAAAUAGAGAGUACUGUCAUGUUUCUGGAUUUUUUCUGUUUCUAUGUAUUUGUGAGUGUUUUAGUGUUAAUGUAUUUAUGAAGCUUUUAAAGUUGUUGAAAA